AGCGAACGCUGGCGGCAGGCUUAACACAUGCAAGUCGAGCGGGCACUUUCGGGUGUCAGCGGCGGACGGGUGAGUAACGCGUGGGAACGUGCCCUCUGGUUCGGAAUAACUCAGGGAAACUUGAGCUAAUACCGGAUACGCCCAUUUGGGGAAAGGCUUGCUGCCGGAGGAUCGGCCCGCGUCUGAUUAGCUAGUUGGUUAGGUAACGGCUCACCAAGGCGACGAUCUGUAGCUGGUCUGAGAGGCUGAUCAGCCACACUGGGACUGAGACGCGGCCCAGACUCCUACGGGAGGCAGCAGUGGGGAAUAUUGGACAAUGGGCGCAAGCCAGAUCCAGCCAUGCCGCGUGAGUGAUGAAGGCCUUAGGGUUGUAAAGCUCUUUUAUCCGGGACGAUAAUGACGGUACCGGAGGAAUAAGCCCCGGCUAACUUCGUG
Molecule: ribosomal RNA, 435 nt
Filed under: uncultured bacterium
Lineage: Bacteria
Description: partial 16S ribosomal RNA
Rfam family: Bacterial small subunit ribosomal RNA
Source: RNAcentral